AACGAACGCUGGCGGCAGGCCUAACACAUGCAAGUCGAGCGCGCCCUUCGGGGUGAGCGGCGGACGGGUGAGUAACGCGUGGGAACGUGCCCUUUUCUACGGAAUAGCCUCGGGAAACUGAGAGUAAUACCGUAUACGCCCUUUGGGGGAAAGAUUUAUCGGAAAAGGAUCGGCCCGCGUUGGAUUAGGUAGUUGGUGGGGUAAUGGCCUACCAAGCCGACGAUCCAGGGCUGGUUUGAGAGGAUGAUCAGCCACACUGGGAAUGAGACACGGCCCAGACUCCGACGGGAGGGAGCAGUGGGGAAUCUUAGACAAUGGGGGCAACCCUGAUAUAGCCAUGCCGGGUGAGUGAUGAAGGCCUUAGGGUUGUAAAGCUCUUUCAGCUGGGAAGAUAAUGACGGUACCAGCAGAAGAAGCCCCGGCUAACUACGUG
RNAcentral lists this ribosomal RNA (433 nucleotides) under uncultured bacterium. RNAcentral's name for it is "partial 16S ribosomal RNA". It matches the Rfam family "Bacterial small subunit ribosomal RNA", at positions 29 to 507 of the family's 1533-position model. The record is from RNAcentral.